GCGUUUCAUCCUAUCACGUGGUAGAGCACGCGUCCCCGGGAAGGAUGAAUCGCGGGUUCGAUUCCCGCCUGAGGCU
Molecule: non-coding RNA, 76 nt
Organism: Parelaphostrongylus tenuis
Lineage: Eukaryota; Metazoa; Nematoda; Chromadorea; Rhabditida; Metastrongylidae
Source: the annotation of a GenBank genome assembly